Molecule: ribosomal RNA, 468 nt
Filed under: uncultured bacterium
Lineage: Bacteria
Description: partial 16S ribosomal RNA
Rfam family: Bacterial small subunit ribosomal RNA
Source: RNAcentral
GACGAACGCUGGCGGCGUGCUUAACACAUGCAAGUCGAACGGAAAGGCCCUGCUUUUGUGGGGUGCUCGAGUGGCGAACGGGUGAGUAACACGUGAGUAACCUGCCCUUGACUUUGGGAUAACUUCAGGAAACUGGGGCUAAUACCGGAUAGGAGCUCCUGCUGCAUGGUGGGGGUUGGAAAGUUUCGGCGGUUGGGGCUGGACUCGCGGCUUAUCAGCUUGUUGGUGGGGUAGUGGCUUCCCAAGGCUUUGAAGGGUAGCCGGCCUGAGAGGGUGACCGGCCACAUUGGGCCUGAGGUACGGCCCAGACUCCUACGGGAGGCAGCAGUGGGGAAUAUUGCAGAAUGGGCGGAAGCCUGAUGCAGCAACGCCGCGUGCGGGAUGACGGCCUUCGGGUUGUAAACCGCUUUCGCCUGUGCCGAAGCGUGAGUGACGGUAAUGGGUAAAGAAGCACCGGCUAACUACGUG